Molecule: ribosomal RNA, 424 nt
Filed under: uncultured bacterium
Lineage: Bacteria
Description: bacterial SSU rRNA
Rfam family: Bacterial small subunit ribosomal RNA
Source: RNAcentral
UGAGGAAUAUUGGUCAAUGGGCGCAAGCCUGAGCCAGCCAUCCCGCGUGCAGGAAGACGGCGCUAUGCGUUGUAAACUGCUUUUCCAGGGAGAGAAACUUGCGCACGUGUUGCGCAAUUGACGGUACCCUGGGAAUAAGCAUCGGCUAACUCCGUGCCAGCAGCCGCGGUAAUACGGAGGAUGCGAGCGUUAUCCGGAUUCAUUGGGUUUAAAGGGUGCGUAGGCGGACUAUUAAGUCAGUGGUGAAAUCCUGCAACUUAACUGCAGAGCUGCCAUUGAUACUGAUAGCCUUGAGUUUGGUUAAGGUAGGCGGAAUGUGUAAUGUAGCGGUGAAAUGCUUAGAUAUUACACAGAACACCAAUUGCGUAGGCAGCUUACUGAGCCGACACUGACGCUGAGGCACGAAAGCGUGGGGAUCGAACAG